UCUAAUGUGGCAGAUUAGUGCAAUGAAUUUAAGCUUCAUAUAUAAAGUCCUUCACUUUUAUUAGAA
This 66-nucleotide transfer RNA is filed under the name Dyscolus diopsis. RNAcentral describes it as "tRNA-Leu". The record is from RNAcentral. RNAcentral also lists the same sequence under 1 other name. Lineage: Eukaryota; Metazoa; Arthropoda; Insecta; Coleoptera; Carabidae.